RNAcentral lists this unclassified non-coding RNA (1051 nucleotides) under Hevea brasiliensis (rubber tree). The record is from RNAcentral. Lineage: Eukaryota; Viridiplantae; Streptophyta; Magnoliopsida; Malpighiales; Euphorbiaceae.
CUCAACAUUUGAACUUCUUCACAAUUUUAGUACUUGCUUCGGUGCCAAAUCCCCUAUUUGACCUUGCUGGCAUUAUGUGUGGACAAUUUGGGAUUUCAUUUUGGAAGUUUUUCCUUGCAACAUUGAUUGGGAAAGCAAUUGUGAAAACUCAUAUACAGACAAUUUUUAUUAUAUCUGUCUGUAACAAUCAACUCCUUGACUGGAUAGAGAAUGAGUUGAUCUGGGUACUCAGCUUUGUGCCCGGUUUGGAUUCUGUCCUGCCCAGCAUCAUAGCCAAACUGCAUUCAGUUAAAGAAAAAUAUAUGGCACCUGCACCACCCCUACCCUCAAAUAACAAGGUGAAAAAAUGGGAUUUCUCUUUUGCUGCAGUGUGGAACACCAUUGUGUGGCUCAUGCUCGUGAACUUCUUUUUCAAGAUUGUGACUGCAACUGCACAGGAGUAUUUGAAAAAGCAGCAGGAGAAGGAGCUAGCUGAAUUGACAAAUAAUGUGUCUUCUUCAACACAUUCAGAUUAGAAUCUGACCAGAAGCAUCUUGAUAAACAGGCAACAUACCAACAUUGAAAGUUGCUUUUUCUUUCCUCGACUUUUUCUUUUUUCCUUACCUCAUUACAAUUAGAGUAUGACAGCUCUUUCCCAAGUCACUCCAAAAAUCUAUUUACAUGGGGAAAUCCCUGUUAGUAGCUUGUAUAGAAAUAGGAAGACUAAGUCCCGUCUCACAAAAAUUGGGGUAAACCAUUGUUUAGGGUACUUUUAUUGCCCAUUGUUAAGCAAAAUAGUGAAAUUGGGAAUGGAAGCGUAUUAGAAUUCUUUGGAAUGCAAUACAUGUUAUUGAUCUUUACGGAUUUGAGUACCUUCUCUUCUUUAACUUUAAAGAAAGCAGUUGACACUACUCUUAUGUAGUUAUGUUGUACAUGAGGAUUGCAGAACCGCCUUCAUGUAUUUGUAUCAACCUAACCUUUUGGCUUCAGUCAUGCUUAAUUUGGAGCAUUUAACUAAUGUUAAAAGAAUAGGUUAUGUGGGGCAAAUACAUGAAGGCGGUUCUGCAAUCCU